UAAAGCCGAGACAAAUUAAGUUUUCCAUAUAUAUAAAAAAUGUGAUUUUUUGUGUGUCUCUCGAUCCUGAUCUUAUUCCUAUAUAUGUAUAGUGCAUGAAAAAUGUGAAAGACAAAUUCUUAACAUCACACAAAUGAGCUUACAUACUAAUAACACACUAUAGGAACACUAAAAACUAAGUUAUUAGUGAUUACAAUAAUCCCAUGAAAAGGAAAGAUAAGAACACCAAUUACAAACCCUUUAAAGGGACUCAUAAGAUGACAAAGCUGUCUCUUUUAAGAAGCACAAUAAUUGUAGGCAUUAUAAAUAUUUGAAGUGGUAACAAGUUUUUUAUUAGCUAAUUAAUUUCCUAUCCAAGCUAAGUGGAGCAGGUGUUUUUGCAUGCGGUUGGAUUAUAUUGUCAUGAAGUCCAACAAUUGAUAAAGAUUAAAUUUAAAACGUCUCAUCGUGAAGAAUUUUCAGAUUUUAUAGAAACAAACGUAUCGGUGAUUCGCUAUUAUUAAUAUCGAUAUUAUUAUAAAUUUAACUACGUGCAAAGCCUAGCUAACAUCGUAUGAUUUUAUCACAAUUACAGAAUUCAAUGAUUGAGGGGUUAAAGAGUUAAAAAUAAUAAUAAUAUAAAAAAUAAAAAAAGGAAAAAGGAAAAAAAAAGCAAGAGCACCUUCAUAAGCUAAAUUUGAGGCCAACAUAGUAAAUUGGGCAAGUUUCGAGUGGAAACAGAGUUUUGAAAACAACAUCCAUGAUUCUCUCUCAUGUAAAGGAAGUGCAUUAUAAGAGAGAUGGCAUUUGAUCGAUGAGGCCAGCUUUGCAUCUACCUGGGUGCAGGUAUCUGACACCACCAGCUCAUCAUCUUGGUCAGGUAAGAUCAUGAUGUGGUCCAAAUGGCCCUAGCUAGUGAUUUUCCCAUAAGCUUUUUGACCCUCUAAAAGCAGCAAUAGUAGUUGCGGUAUUUUGGCUCAAUCUCCCUCAAAUAAACCAAGCAAGACACACAAAUCAACAGUGUAAAGCUGAAGCAGGGUCCAACAACAACUACGGUACAACCGUACACGGCAAAUCAUCUUUUUCUGUAAUGUCUUUGGUUGUAAAGAAAAUAGUGUUUGCACAUAUUAUAUAUGUUGUUGAGGAAAUUACAUAAUUAUAUUUUCUUCAAGAAGCACCUAGAUAAUUGAGACUCGGAUAUCUCGCUCUUUUUAAGGAGAUUCAAGCUCACCGUUGUUUGGCAGUGCCCAUGAACCAAUGCAGCAGUAUAUCUCUUGAGUUGUCCCGUUCAGGAUACAACCACCCAACUGAAUCGUUGUAUGAUACUAUUUGCACAAAAUGAUGAGUCCAAAGCUCCAUCACCAAAAAAUAAAUAAAUAAUUCGAGAGGAAAGAUAAGAUAUGAGAGAGGAAUGCGAAAGAUGAGAUGAUAAGGGAUGACUGAAAUGGUGAGAAGAGAGGUGCUAUUUAUAGGCUCAUAGGAUCACCCCUAAAUUAAUAGGGUUCACAAAUCAACUGUUGAAGAAUAUAAGUCCC
Molecule: long non-coding RNA, 1514 nt
Filed under: Prunus persica (peach)
Lineage: Eukaryota; Viridiplantae; Streptophyta; Magnoliopsida; Rosales; Rosaceae
Description: long non-coding RNA (PPER_LNC000301)
Source: RNAcentral